This 253-nucleotide ribosomal RNA is filed under the name uncultured bacterium. Its description in RNAcentral is "partial 16S ribosomal RNA". It matches the Rfam family "Bacterial small subunit ribosomal RNA", at positions 524 to 776 of the family's 1533-position model. The record is from RNAcentral.
UACGUAGGGUGCAAGCGUUGUCCGGAAUUAUUGGGCGUAAAGAGCUCGUAGGUGGUUUGUUACGUCUGCUGUGAAAACCUAGGGCUUAACCCUGGGCUUGCAGUGGAUACGGGCAGACUAGAGGUAGGUAGGGGAGAAUGGAAUUCCUGGUGUAGCGGUGAAAUGCGCAGAUAUCAGGAGGAACACCGGUGGCGAAGGCGGUUCUCUGGGCCUUACCUGACACUGAGGAGCGAAAGCGUGGGGAGCGAACAGG